CAGUAGCCGCGGGAAUACGAAGGGUGCAAGCGUUAAUCGGAAUUACUGGGCGUAAAGCGCGCGUAGGUGGUUUGGUAAGAUGGAUGUGAAAUCCCCGGGCUCAACCUGGGAACUGCAUCCAUAACUGCCUGACUAGAGUACGGUAGAGGGUGGUGGAAUUUCCUGUGUAGCGGUGAAAUGCGUAGAUAUAGGAAGGAACACCAGUGGCGAAGGCGACCACCUGGACUGAUACUGACACUGAGGUGCGAAAGCGUGGGGAGCAAACAGGAUUAGAUACCCGAGUAGUCCCUGUCUCUUAUAU
RNAcentral lists this ribosomal RNA (301 nucleotides) under uncultured bacterium. RNAcentral's name for it is "partial 16S ribosomal RNA". It matches the Rfam family "Bacterial small subunit ribosomal RNA", at positions 509 to 809 of the family's 1533-position model. The record is from RNAcentral.